Molecule: transfer RNA, 85 nt
Filed under: Felis catus (domestic cat)
Lineage: Eukaryota; Metazoa; Chordata; Mammalia; Carnivora; Felidae
Rfam family: tRNA
About the family: Transfer RNA (tRNA) molecules are approximately 80 nucleotides in length. Their secondary structure includes four short double-helical elements and three loops (D, anti-codon, and T loops).
Source: Rfam by way of RNAcentral
GCCUGGGUGGCUUGGUUGGUUGAGCAUCUGACUUUGGCUCAGGUCAUGAUCUCGCAGUCUGUGGGUUCGAGCCCCGUGUCGGGCU